RNAcentral lists this long non-coding RNA (1124 nucleotides) under Papio anubis (olive baboon). Its description in RNAcentral is "lncRNA (ENSPANG00000047675.1)". The record is from RNAcentral. Lineage: Eukaryota; Metazoa; Chordata; Mammalia; Primates; Cercopithecidae.
CCACGCUGAGCAGCACCCCAGAGGGGUAAUGUGAUUUGCCUAAAGUCACACAGGCAGGCAGUGGCAAAGACAAUCCAGCCUCAGUUCCAGGACUGGGCCAGGCCUCAAGGAGGAGCCAGAGCCUCCCUUGUGGAGGGCAACCUGCCGGCCGGGCACUGACACGCUGGUGUCCAGUGAGAGCAGAAGGGGCCCCUGCUCCCCAGGAGGGUGGUGAGAAUCAAGGAACCACCAAAGAAUCCAGGUAGGAUUCCAGCCCCAGACAAGAGUGCCACUGAGACGGAAAAGGCUCUGGGACAGAGCUGACUUGGGCCGGGGGGUGGAGGGGGGGCGGGGGCGGGUGGAUAGGUGGUUUUCCUGAGGACCGGUGGCCUGAACCAAGCUGAAGGAGGAGCGAGGGGUGGUGGGGAGGAGAGGCUGAAGGAGGGAGCAGCAGAGACAAAGGCCAUGUGUGAGGAGGGGCACAGUGCCUUCCAGAAAGCUUGGGGAGGGGGAGGCAGGGACUGGAGAGGUGGUAGGGGCCAGACCCCAGACCCCGCCCCUCCCUCCCUGCACGUGCAGGUGUGAUGAAGAUUUGGGUCUUUAUCCAGAGAGAACGAUGGAAAGCUCUGGAAAAGCUCUAAUCAGGUCAGAGGAGGGGAGGGCAGGGGCAGGGUUGACCAUGACCUUGUGGACUGUAUGGCUUCCUGGCUGCAGUGUGGCGAGCAGCUGGAAGGGGCCAGAGGGUGUGCACAGAGGCCAGGGAUGCGGCCACCAGGGAUUUGGCCACUGUAGCUGUCCCCGUGAGAGGUGAGGGGGCUCAGAGCAGGCUGAUGGCAGUGGAGAUGGAGAUCAGGCUGGAAGCAUGGACACACUCCAGACAUGUCCAGGUGAUAUCAGCAACAGGACUUGGGCUAUCCUGGCCACAUGGCUGGUGGAGAAGGAGGCACAGGGACAAAGCGCAGUUUCCUGACUUGUACAACUGGGCAGCCCGUGGAGCUGGGAGAAGCCCAGGGCGUCAUCUAAGGUAACUUCCAGCCAUGGCUCCAACUCCCCACGGUGACCAUGGGAGCUGGGAGCGAAGGAAGAGGGGGCUGGACAAUGGUCUGUGCCAGACGGCAGUGGGAAGAGAUCAGGCACUUGCUCCU